Molecule: non-coding RNA, 228 nt
Filed under: Staphylococcus saprophyticus subsp. saprophyticus ATCC 15305 = NCTC 7292
Lineage: Bacteria; Bacillati; Bacillota; Bacilli; Caryophanales; Staphylococcaceae
Description: Staphylococcus saprophyticus subsp. saprophyticus ATCC 15305 S. aureus tsr24 small RNA
Rfam family: S. aureus tsr24 small RNA
Source: Rfam by way of RNAcentral
AUAUUAUAAUCCUUGUACUUAAGGCACCUCGUUAAUUUAGUUUAGUGGUAUUUAUUAAAUGAUAAAGAAUUAGCUUAUUUUUUAAAGUAUUUCAAUAUAAAAAUACAUAUAAAUACAGAGCGUUUUGGCGAGACACUUGAAGGAACGGGAUAAGCUGAAGACUACAGGCUGAAGCCGUCCUCUAAGAAAGCGAGACAACAAUACGAAGUAUUGUAAAUAAAACAGCCA